CGGCGUGCUUAACACAUGCAAGUCGAACGGAGCUUCCUGGAUUGAGACUUCGGUCAAAUGAACGGAAGCUUAGUGGCGGACUGGUGAGUAACGCGUGAGGAACCUGCCCUUCAGAGGGGGACAACAGUUGGAAACGACUGCUAAUACCGCAUAACAUACCGAGAUGGCAUCAUCAUGGUAUCAAAGGAGCAAUCCGCUGAAGGAUGGCCUCGCGUCUGAUUAGAUAGUUGGUGAGGUAACGGCUCACCAAGUCAACGAUCAGUAGCCGGACUGAGAGGUUGAACGGCCACAUUGGGACUGAGACACGGCCCAAACUCCUACGGGAGGCAGCAGUGGGGAAUCUUCCGCAAUGGGCGCAAGCCUGACGGAGCAACGCCGCGUGAGUGAAGAAGGUUUUCGGAUCGUAAAGCUCUGUUGAGAGGGACGAGAGACAUAAUCAGGAAAUGGGUUAUGGAGGACGGUACCUUUCGAGGAAGCCACGGCUAACUACGUG
This 493-nucleotide ribosomal RNA is filed under the name uncultured bacterium. RNAcentral's name for it is "bacterial SSU rRNA". It matches the Rfam family "Bacterial small subunit ribosomal RNA", at positions 40 to 507 of the family's 1533-position model. The record is from RNAcentral.